GCCUGAGUGGUGAAAUUGGUAGACACGCUGGAUUCAAAAUCCAGUGGCAGUGAUGUCGUGGCGGUUCGAGUCCGCCCUCAGGUACCA
RNAcentral lists this transfer RNA (87 nucleotides) under Campylobacterales bacterium. Its description in RNAcentral is "tRNA-Leu". It matches the Rfam family "tRNA". From Rfam's summary of the family: Transfer RNA (tRNA) molecules are approximately 80 nucleotides in length. Their secondary structure includes four short double-helical elements and three loops (D, anti-codon, and T loops). Lineage: Bacteria; Pseudomonadati; Campylobacterota; Epsilonproteobacteria; Campylobacterales. The record is from RNAcentral. RNAcentral also lists the same sequence under 2 other names.